RNAcentral lists this long non-coding RNA (4896 nucleotides) under Homo sapiens (human). RNAcentral's name for it is "long intergenic non-protein coding RNA 1271". The record is from RNAcentral. Lineage: Eukaryota; Metazoa; Chordata; Mammalia; Primates; Hominidae.
ACAGCCACAGCUCUGCUUCCCAUCAAGGGGCGGAGCAGCUGCGGCUCCCCUCUGGCCAGGGCUGGGGGUCUGAGUCAGCUGGAGUCAGGUAAGCAGAGGAGGAUGUGGGGCUUUCCCACCCGCAGCCUGGAAGCCCGUGUGUGCAGGGCAGGGCUGCCUCCCACGGCAGGGGCAGGCAGAGGCCUCUGCGCCAGGUACAGCCUAGGUACCGCCUACCCCCAUGGCUGACCCUGGGCCCCAAAUCCAGCGGGAGGCCUGGGAGCAUCUUCUCCGCCUGAGUCACCGGGCUGGGCCCAGGACCCCAGCCAAGGGCUUUGCCUCUGGGAAGAAAAGAGCUUUGGAGUCCAGCAAAACCUGGGAAGCAGGGGGAAGCUUCCCUAGCAGGUGCUAUUUGAGCAGAGGCCUGGAGGAGGGAGACUAGCAAUUAUUUGGUCUUCGAGGCAAGUUAGCACCACACAGAGACUCUUCUGGAUAUAAAGGAAAGACUGUAAAGAAUUUGCAGAGAGAAUAACUCUCGCUAUGUGACCCGAGGUGAUUUUAUGCUUUGCCUGUGCAGCCUAUAAAAUAAUCUUGUGUGGUCCCCAUGAUGCACAUCAACCAGGAGAUGCUGGAGAGUCUGAGACAGCGUGCUGGCAGCACUCUGCCGGGGGAAGGACACGGAGGUGUCCAGGCUCGGCUCCAAAAGCAGACAAGCCUGCACUGCGCUGGAGCAGGUGAGAAGUAGCUGGGUUCCACCGUGCCCUUUUCGUCUGUGUCCCUUGCCACCCAACACGAGCUCAGCACACAGUUGAUCUUCACUAACUAGUCACCCCUCCAAGCUUUUGCAAUGGUUGUUCCCUCUGCUAAAGAUACCCCCUUCUCCCACCUUGACCACCCGACUAACUCUUAAGCUCAGCUCCCAGGUGCCUCCUCCUCCUUCUUCUUGGUACAUGAGUGCCCCGCUUGGCAUUCGCUUAGGGGUGUCUAUACACACUAUUUCCUCUGCCUGGAGUAUCUUCUUCCAUGGGGCAGGGGUCAGUCAGCACCUUCUGUAUGCAAGGGACAGAAAGCCAGUCCCAACUGUUUUCAGCCAAAAAUGGGAAAGACAGUGGCUCACAUAACUAGAAAGUUGAAGGUGCCUAAUUUCAGGUACAGUGGGAUCCAGGAGUUCAAAGCCUGUCCAGCUCUGUGCUGCUUCCUGUCAGGCAGGCUUUUCCCUUGUUUUGUCCUCUUCUUCUCUAAGCGUUCACUUGCUCACUGUCCAUCCAAUGGAAAAUGGCAUCUCCUUCACAAAUCAUGGCCAACCCUGAAGUCCCAAGAUCAAGUUUCAUUGGGCAGGCUCAGUCAUGUGCCCAUCCCUGGACCAAUCACUAGAGCAAGACCCGGUCACAUGUCCACCCCUGGAGACAGAGGCCUCUGGGCACCCCCAGCCUCAUGGACUGAGAAAAGGGAAGAGGGGGUUCUUCAGUAGGAAGUCGAGGUGCUGUUACCUGAAAAUGGGAGAUAGAUGCUGACUUGUCCACACACCCGCACCUUCUCCCAGCAAACUCUAGCUCGUCUCUGCACAUUGUAUGACCUCAGGCCAACCCCUUCCCCUCUCUGGGUCUUAUGUUCCUCCUCCGGAAAAUGGGCAGGAGGCCGUUUGAAUUCCAACAUUCCAGAAUUCUGGGACAGCUUCCAGGACUGGAGUCAGCUCCCUAGAUCCCAGGAACGUUCCAGCACUUCUGGGGACGGAAGUGGAGCAUCAGCCAGAGCCCUCCCCGGCCCCCGGCCUGGGAACAUGUUUAGAAGAUGACAACUGGGCUCCCUUUGGCCGAAAUUCCACUCCCGUGGGGGCCUUGCCAAGGAAAAUAAGCCCAAGAACCAGGCAUUAAAGAGACAGCAUUCCUUCCAGGCAUUUUAAGCAGAAAGGAUCCAACACAGGGAAUUGAACACUCACAACAUUGCUAGAAGGGCUGGAGAGGCACCAGCACCACACAGCAGAACUGGACCUUCAGGAGAGCUGCCAGCCACUCAGGAUGGUGGGGAAUCAGGAGGCCACAGAGGAGCUGUAGACUUUGAGAACGUAUCACAGCACCAUCCAGCCAUCUGGAGAUGAGGAAGCCACCACCACCACCCCUACCUCUAGACUCCCCAAGAGUGGUAACCGGACGCCAAGGUUGCUGCAAGAAAAUCCAUCCCAUGACCAUGCUCACCAGCAGAAAGAGAGCCCAGGAAAAAACAAGGCGGCCCCCACUUCCUGACUCUCACAGGAAGGCAUCUGCCUGGCGGGACCUGCAGAGCGUUCAGAGCCCCUGCUGCAAAGAAGGCUGGGGAAUGCGGCGUGUAGCCUUCCAGUCUCUGCAGCCUCUUGCUAGAAAGAGAUAUUAAUAGGAAUGGAUGCUGAGGAUCAGAUGACCCUGAACAUGAGGUCUUAGGAUUCCCUAUCUCAGCCCCAACACCCUGUGCGAAUGGAAACCUCUGCUUACUUGUCUGUGUUCCCUGAUGGACUGCGGACACUUCAAAAGGCCAGGAUGAUGCCUUGGAUAUCUCGGGCUCAGCAGCAUCUUGCAUAGGCCCAGUGCAAGACAACAGUAGUCAUGCAAGAAGAAAAAGAAGAACUGACAUUUAUUGAGCAUUUACUAUGCACUGAGCACUGGGCUACAUGUUUUACAUACCUGUUGACAUAUUCACAACCCAAUAGGGUAGGCAUUAUUGCUGUCCCUAUUUAUACAUGAAGAAGAGAAGGUCUAUAGAGGUGAAGUAAGUUUCCCAAGGUCACCCAGCCAGUACAUAUCAGAGAUGAGAUUAAAAAUGCAAUCUGUCUGACUUCAAGCUCCAAACACUUGCCACUUAUGAGAGGCACCUUUAUCUUCUCCCAGGCAUCCAGAAAGGUCACAGCAAUGUUGUGCAAUGAAUGAAUGAAUACAUAAGUGUCUUCUCCUUUAGGAAACUACCUGUCCCCAUCUCAGCUGCCUUCCCUCCACUGGGCCUGGGUUCCUCUCCAAGAUCAGGGCUCAGAGAGUAAAAAUAAUACAUAAGACUGCACUGGGAUUCCUCACCUUGGGUCUGUAGGUGGCUCUUAGGCUCCAUGACCACCACUCCCAUAAAGUUGCUAACAUUUUGUGUCUAUAUGCAAUUUUCUGGAGAUUUGACUCAAAGUUUUCACUAAGCUUUCAAACUUCAAAAACUUGAUACUGCUGCAUCAGGGAGGAACACAGGAAUUUUCCUGCCUCCUGACCUCAGUUCCGAUCUUAUGACAUAGCAUGCAUUCACCUGUAUAUCCAUCCAACUUACCUAUCCAUCCAUUCAUUCUCUCAUCCACCAUCCAUGUACUCCUCCAUCCUAUUUCCCCAUCCACUCAUCCACCCAUUCAUCUAUUCAUCCACCAAUCAAUCUAACCAUCCAUCCAUCUUUCCAUCCAUCCAUCCACCUAUCCAUCCAUCUAUUCUCUUAUCCACCCUCCUACCCACCAAUCUAUUCAUUUAUCUACCCAUCCAUUCGCCUAUCCGUCCACCCACUCAUCCAUCCAUCUAUCCACCUACCCAUCCAUCUAUCCACCUACCCAUCCAUCUAUUCUAUUAUCCACCCUCCCACCCACCAAUCCAUUCAUUUUUCUACCUAUCCAUUCUCCUAUCCAUCCAUCCAUCCAUCCAUCCUACCCAUCCAUCUAUUCUAUUAUCCACCCUCCUACCCACCAAUCCAUUCAUUUAUCUACCUAUCCAUUCUCCUAUCCACCCACCCACCCAUCCAUUCAUCUAUCCAUUUACCCAUUCUUCUGUCCACUCACUCAUCCAUCCACCCACUCUUUCAUCUAUCCAUCCAACCAUUUGCCCAUCCAUACACCCACCCAUUCACUCAUGGAAUCACCAAUCCAUCUACCCAUUUAUCCCUUUAUCUGUUUAUUCAUCUAGCCAUCUAUUAAGUCAUCCAUCACUUUAUGUAUUAAUUCAUUCAUUUAAUUAUAUAUUUAUCUAUUCAUUCAUCCAUCAGUAAUUCACAGUAUUCAACAAUGAAAUCACCCGCUCCAUCCAUCACACAAUUUAAAAUCCAGCACUUGUUUAUUUAUUCAACCAUCCAUCAUCCAUCUCUCCAUUUAUCCACUAAUUUCUUCAUUCAUGUGUUCACUCAUCCAUUAAUUCAAUUGUUAAUUAUCUCAUUCAUUGAUUCAUCUAUUCUUUCAUUGAUCUAUUUCUUCAUCCAUUUUAUCCAUUCAUAAACAGUUCCCUUAUCUCCACACAUGUACCCAGCCAUUAAAUUAUCCAUUUGACUAUCCACCCAUCCAUCAAGUCAUCACUCAUCUUUUCACCCAUUAAAUGCUCCAUCCACCCAUUCUGUUCUCUAUACCAGAACCAAGAAGUGAAUCACGGCUGGCCCUGCCCUUGAGAAGCUCACAAUCAAGUGAUGGAAACAGACAGCUACAACCCAAGAUGGAAAAUAUUCAGAAGUCAAAGGGAGCUCCAGGCAGGUGCCUUCACAGAAGGGGACUCAGGUCCUUCUAGGGAUUCAGAGAAGGCUCCUUGGAGGAAGCAGCAUCCAAACAGGACUCAUGAAGUCAGAAAAACAGUGAACAAACUCCCUUAGAUAUCCCAGAGGGUAACUCACAGGACCUAACCACCUAGAUGCUCAUUGAGCUCUUUGGAGCAUCCAAGACUGAGAACACCUGUGGCAAAUGUUCACCCAGGAAUUCCCAAACCCAAUGGCUAAUGGAACACUUUCCCCCUUGUCACUCCUAUUAGUACCCCCAGAGACUCUGUGUCCCUCAGAUCUGUGUCCUCAAAAUGGAUAAAUGAUAAAAUAGAUUUGGGAAAUGCUAGUCUGGUCCAAACUUCUUGUUUCCACAAAGAAGAAAACAAAGUUCCACAAAACAUCUCUGACCUCAAAAAUUGUGUUCAUCUGUAGAUAAGAUGCAAUGCACAAUAUAUGCCCAAAGACUCC